UGUGUGUGUGUGUGUGUGUAUAUCUGUAGAUGUGCUUGAAUGUUUUAAGAGUGUUUAUUUUGUGUGUGUGUGUGUGUAUAUCUGUAGAUGUGCUUGAAUGUUUUAAGAGUGUUUAUUUUGUGUGUGUGUGUGUGUAUAUCUGUAGAUGUGCUUGAAUGUUUUAAGAGUGUUUAUUUUGUGUGUGUGUGUGUAUAUCUGUAGAUGUGCUUGAAUGUUUUAAGAGUGUGUAUUUUUGUGUGUUUUUUUCCAGAUUUUUGGGAUUUGUUUGGCCCAGAACUUAGUCAGUGACAUUGAAGCUGUGCAGGCGAGCUGCCUCUUCACUUAACGCCACGUGCGGACUCCAGCAGCUGAGCCUGCGAGCAUCGUUGGACACACCCCUCAGGAGGAGGUCAGAGGUCACCACGAUGAACCAGCACUUUGUUUUUAGCACACUAACUGACCUGAGAACGUCGUUAACUUUGUAGUAACGCUCCUCUUUUGAUCGACUCCAGUUUUGAUACCUUUUGAUAUUUUUUGUCACCGUUACACUGACGCGGAUUUGGACUGAAGUACAGCUCUGCCCGGUCCGAGGUCUUGGGUUCACAUUACGAGUGCAUACUAGGGUACGCUCUAGCGCCCCUUAAUGGCCCGUUAAAUGAAGUCACUGAAUCAAGUUUUUACUAGUUUAGUUUUGUUGGUUUGUUGUGGAUAAACGGUAUUCUGCAUCCUAAUACUUACGGCCGUUUACGUGUAAAAUAACCUUCAGUUUAUCCGAACUGCUAGUUACUACUCUGUAACGUACGAGGGGUCCACGGACUCACUUUCCAACUACUGAAGGUGAAAACACUGUUCUUUAAUGAAGGAUGUGUGAGGGGGCGGGUCUAAGUCCUUAUUGGACAAGGUCGUUAUUUAGGUUUCACUGUCACGUUAACUGUGAGCGCUUUAAUAUUUGUAACAUUUUUCUAGUGACGUUAACGACAGUAACAAGUCAUUUUGAUGUCAAUUCACAAAAUUGUUAGACAUUUUUUUUUUUGUCAAACUUCUACUGAUUAUGACAAAAAAUAAGUGUAAUGUGUAUCACAGUUUUCACCGUCAGUGUUUUGAUGCCUAUCUGGAUCCACAGCGUGAGGCGGCUUUGAGCUGUAGUUUUCAUUGGAUUUGCAGCACUUUUCUUCAUUGUGAUUCCAUUGACGUUGGGUGUGAAUGGCUGCUCUUGAACCUGAUACCUGUGGUAGUGUUAGAGAAGGAUUUUGGAGGCGUCACGUUUCCUUGUUACACUAACGCUGAGUGCACACCUGAAUAAAGGAGACACAAACACU
Thalassophryne amazonica is the source of this 1298-nucleotide long non-coding RNA. RefSeq lists it as uncharacterized. The transcript has 3 exons. The record is from RefSeq and is a predicted model, not a curated record. NCBI's taxonomy places the organism in Eukaryota, Metazoa, Chordata, Actinopteri, Batrachoidiformes, Batrachoididae.